CCUAGUUUCAAUUAAUCUCAAUUUGCCUUAAUUAAUCUUAAUAACCCUCAAUCGUACCUCUCUCAUCUCUCUCAAACGGAAGCCGCCGGGAAUCGCCUCCGCCGCGCUGGAGGCGGCGGAGCGCGACAUCUCACUUAACCAGACAUCAAUCCCCGCUCUCCUUCUCACCCUAAACAAUAAAUCCUACUCUAAUUUCUUGUCAAAAAUGCCUUAUCAUCUCAAAGCAGAAAAAGGGAAGAUUCAAACCCUAAGCUCUAAAUCGGAUCCAAUCACGAACCCUAACACCUAAUAGUGAAAUCAAACGGUAUAUACAUGGGAUCCUAACUCAAGACGUUAGGGCUUCUACUCAGGGAAGAUGAGACUACCACUAAGCAUCGAAGAAACGUGAAAAGAUGCGAGAAUGAGGGAUUAAGGCUUACCGAUAGUGGCGAUUCUUCAAGUUGUGCGUAUGGAAAGAAAAUACCAGAGGUAACUUCAAGCAGGUAGCAGUUCUGACUUUGGUGAUGACAUAUAGACGUUUUCAACUCACGGGCUCAUGGAUUAUGUAGCUGGUUAAAGGCGACCAUAUGGAGAGCUUUGCCGGGUCUGAACGUGUCUGCUAUUCUUUUGACUUGGCUUGAUUGACCAUUGGAUGUCUUGAACAUGUAUGGUAUUAAUGUUGCAGUGCUGCAAAUAGAAAUGGAUAUGAAUAUGUGUAUGGAUUGCAUUUGGUUUUGGAUUGACAUGGAUUGUAUUGUAUGGUUGCUUUUGGCUGCAGGUUGGAAUUGAUUUCUUAUUUUGGAAAUGCUUUUAGUUGAUUCAACUUAUUUGUGGACUAUUUUGGUUGUGUGAUGUAUGUAUUGUUGCAGGUAUAUGGUGCAGUUGAUUUAAUAGCCAUCAAGACAUGCAUUUGCUUGAUCAUGUGGCUAGGUGGUAACACAAUGAAGGUGAAGUGGAAUUGGGUUGAGGGAUGAAAAAGGAAGUUUAGAAGUUUAGGUUUACGGUCAAACUACGAAGUAUUUUUUUUGUGAUGUAAUCAAAAGUUUUUUUUUUAGUAAUGGACUAUGACUCAUGUAGUAGAAUAGGACUUUUGGAUAUGGUAUGAACAACAAAUACUGUAAUGGGGUAUGGAUUGGGUUUUUUUUUUUGUAGUGAACAUGGCUUUGUAUCGUGACUUGAAUAUGUAUAUAUUUUGGCUUCUUAAAAAUGUAAUAAUCCAAAUGUAAUUCAUUCCCUUCGAUAUAAAUUUAUUUGAAAUUCUAAGCUUUAA
Vicia villosa (hairy vetch) is the source of this 1249-nucleotide long non-coding RNA. RefSeq lists it as uncharacterized. The record is from RefSeq and is a predicted model, not a curated record. NCBI's taxonomy places the organism in Eukaryota, Viridiplantae, Streptophyta, Magnoliopsida, Fabales, Fabaceae. The transcript has 2 exons.